GUUCCGUGAUGAAGCCAUUUUCGCAAUAAUUUCUUGAACCUCUCACAUGCCUCAUAUAAAGAUUCUUCCUCAAGAUGCUGAAAAGAAGUGAUCUCAUUAUAGAGCUU
Molecule: small nucleolar RNA, 107 nt
Organism: Humulus lupulus (European hop)
Lineage: Eukaryota; Viridiplantae; Streptophyta; Magnoliopsida; Rosales; Cannabaceae
Source: RefSeq, a predicted model, not a curated record